CUCACAUGGGCCCUCACUCAUGCACCUCCACCUGUUGGCCUUGAAGCUGCAUUUAAGCAGCUGGGGAGAAAGCUCUUGCUAGAAGGCUCUAUUUGCAGGCAGUGUUUGAGCUGAUACUAGAAAGCCACUAUUGGGUCUCUGCAGAGCCUUCUCUUCCCUAGGCUGAACAGCCCCGACUCUGUCAGCCUGUCCUUGCAGGAGAAGUGCUCCAUCCCUUGGAUUGCUUUUGUGGUCCUCCUCUGGAUGUGCUCCAGAUGUUCCAUGUCUCUCCUGUGCUGAGGACUCCACAUCUGGACACAGUACUCCAGAUGAGAGAGGAAGCUGCCUUUGAGUGGAUGUAGUGGCUCACUUAGUGCUGAUUUCUAGUUGCUGGUUAGAAUACGGACAUUUUGCUAGGCAGGAAAUGUUUGUGUCAACACUGUAAAUCUCCAGCUGCUGCCUGGUAGCUCAGCACUUAUGCAAGAUACUUCUGCUGAAUCCUCCAAGCUGACCUCGGAGUCCUGUAUUUCCUAGUGUCGGCUUCCAGAUUUCAUCCUACAGUCCUUCUCCCUGGUAGAAGUAGAAUUUGUAAUUCCUAUUA
Molecule: long non-coding RNA, 580 nt
Organism: Lagopus muta (rock ptarmigan)
Lineage: Eukaryota; Metazoa; Chordata; Aves; Galliformes; Phasianidae
Exons: 4
Source: RefSeq, a predicted model, not a curated record